GAAACUAAUGAUAGUUAUUGUCGACCCAUCUUUACUUGCAUUGCAUCUUUGGCUGAAAAUUCAAAACCGGUGAUUGACUCAUUAUAUCUGAUUU
RNAcentral lists this small nucleolar RNA (94 nucleotides) under Nicotiana sylvestris (wood tobacco). RNAcentral's name for it is "Small nucleolar RNA U31b". It matches the Rfam family "Small nucleolar RNA U31b". Lineage: Eukaryota; Viridiplantae; Streptophyta; Magnoliopsida; Solanales; Solanaceae. The record is from Rfam by way of RNAcentral.